This 437-nucleotide ribosomal RNA is filed under the name uncultured bacterium. RNAcentral's name for it is "partial 16S ribosomal RNA". It matches the Rfam family "Bacterial small subunit ribosomal RNA", at positions 29 to 507 of the family's 1533-position model. The record is from RNAcentral.
AGCGAACGCUGGCGGCAGGCUCAACACAUGCAAGUCGAGCGGGCAUCCUUGUGGUGUCAGCGGCAGACGGGUGAGUAACGCGUGGGAACGUGCCCUUCGGUUCGGAAUAACUCAGGGAAACUUGAGCUAAUACCGGAUACGUGCGAGAGCAGAAAGGUUUAUCUGCCGAAGGAUCGGCCCGCGUCUGAUUAGCUAGUUGGUGAGGUUAUGGCUCACCAAGGCGACGAUCAGUAGCUGGUCUGAGAGGAUGAUCAGCCACACUGGGACUGAGACACGGCCCAGACUCCUACGGGAGGCAGCAGUGGGGAAUAUUGGACAAUGGGGGCAACCCUGAUCCAGCCAUGCCGCGUGAGUGAUGACGGCCUUAGGGUUGUAAAGCUCUUUUCUCCGGGACGAUAAUGACGGUACCGGAGGAAUAAGCCCCGGCUAACUUCGUG